Molecule: transfer RNA, 73 nt
Filed under: Coxiella endosymbiont of Amblyomma americanum
Lineage: Bacteria; Pseudomonadati; Pseudomonadota; Gammaproteobacteria; Legionellales; Coxiellaceae
Also listed under: 1 other name
Description: tRNA-Glu (TTC) (tRNA-Glu-TTC-1-1)
Rfam family: tRNA
About the family: Transfer RNA (tRNA) molecules are approximately 80 nucleotides in length. Their secondary structure includes four short double-helical elements and three loops (D, anti-codon, and T loops).
Source: Rfam by way of RNAcentral
GUCCCCAUCGUCUAGAGGCCUAGGACAUCACCCUUUCACGGUGAUAACAGGGGUUCGAAUCCCCUUGGGGACG